RNAcentral lists this ribosomal RNA (233 nucleotides) under uncultured bacterium. RNAcentral describes it as "partial 16S ribosomal RNA". It matches the Rfam family "Bacterial small subunit ribosomal RNA", at positions 103 to 334 of the family's 1533-position model. The record is from RNAcentral.
CGGGUGAGUAACGCGUGAGGAACCUGCCUCAAAGAGGGGGACAACAGUUGGAAACGACUGCUAAUACCGCAUAAGCCCACAGGUCGGCAUCGACCAGAGGGAAAAGGAGCAAUCCGCUUUGAGAUGGCCUCGCGUCCGAUUAGCUAGUUGGUGAGGUAAUGGCCCACCAAGGCAACGAUCGGUAGCCGGACUGAGAGGUUGAACGGCCACAUUAGGACUGAGACACGGCCCAG